AUGUCUCAUUAUUCAUCAAUUAAUGAAAAACAAAUGAAAAUUUGAGAGAGAUAUUCUGAAGAAUAAAAGGAUCAAGUUGGGUCAUUUCUAAAAUCUCAGAGACCUAAUAGGAUGGGGUCUUAGAGAAACAUCUUUUGAGCCACAGACUUCUUUGUUACCAGAAGGAAAAUGAAAGAAGAAAUUUAAAUACCACUUGAAGAGAGCUGAUCGCCACCAACUGGCCUCUGGGUGGAUUUGGCCAAUGGAAGCACCUGUAGAGGGAAGAGAGUGAGGUUAGGAUAUUUCUUCCUGCUGUCUCCGUGCUUCCCUGCAGAGAGUGUGAAGAAAUGACCCUGAAAAGCCUCUGGCAGAGGAUUCUUCUUUCAGGAUGGUGUCGCCUCCUCAGCAGCCCAUCCUCCUCCCCUGGACUCAAGCUCUCAUUCCAGUAACACUCCUUCCUCCUUCUCCAUCUUCAGGGGGAGGUUUGCCAGUCGGUGCUGCCCAGUUCAUGAGUGCUGCUGCUGUCCUGCCCAAGUACCCAGCUUGCAGAGUGCCAGAGUUAGAGUCCCAGGGGUGUUCUCCACAGCUGCAUGCUUGAUCCAGGCCUAUCAGCAUCUGAGGAAUACAUCCAAAGAGGGUGAUACUGUGGCAUGAUGGUACCAGGAUUCCAAGUUCAUUCCAGAUCAUUGGGUAGAGACUAGAAAUGUACCGAGCAGUGCGCAAAGAAGAUGAGGAGGGUUCUACAGUUUCUCCAGAUACAUACCAUGACAAUUUGUUUUUUUAAAAAAGAAGAAAGCCUGCAGGAAAAAAUCUACAACUUUCAUCAAAUUACUCAGGGAGACUUUAUUCUAAAGAGACUGAAAACGACCAACAUCAAUUUUGACUCCUAUGGGCAUCUGUAAAUAGCUUCAAGGUUUUAAGGUGAAAUGUCAUGUACCAAAAUACACAUUCUGGAGAAGCAGGAAGCUACAGACCAACUUGAGAUGAAAGUCUCAUAUCAAUGUUUUCCCAAGUGUGCUCCUUGGAAUACAGGUUGACAUGAUAUGAUGCCCAGCAAGGGAAACAAAACAUAUUCAUGUUCAAAUUAGUUGGGGAAAUGCUGGACUAAAUAAGGUUUGAUGGGAUUCUUUUUUCUGCAGGACUUCUCAGAAGGGGCUAGAGUAGGCAAAGUUUCCCAGAUUUACCUAAUAAAAGCAUUGUUUCUGUGGGAGUUUCAUUUGUUAUUACAUGUUUCCUGAAUGCAGAUUCAUAGACUAUCCUUUGGGGAACCCUCGUCCUCACGGGAUGUAUGUUCAUGGUGGUGUCUUCGAGUUUGUGCCCUUGUGAAGCAUUCUGGCAGCAAGCAUCUGAACACUUCCAAAAGGGGGCGAUAUUUAGGAGAAAUCGCUCAGCCUGAGUUAGAACAAAUGCAGCUGCUGGUGUCUCUUGGUGCCUGGGAGCCCUAGAGUGUCAGAGGGAGGAGCGUGCACACUGGAACCAGCAGCCUGGUGCUGCGUCUCAGCUCUGUCGCUAACUGGCUAUGCACCUCUGGGCAUGGCACUUAACCCUUCUGAGCCCCAGCCCGCCAUCUGUAAAAAGGGCUUGAUGUGAGGAUUGAAUGAGAUCAUGCAGGGAACACAAUGUCUGGCACUUGGAAGCGUC
Molecule: long non-coding RNA, 1620 nt
Filed under: Homo sapiens (human)
Lineage: Eukaryota; Metazoa; Chordata; Mammalia; Primates; Hominidae
Description: synapse stability regulating cerebellar lncRNA
Source: RNAcentral